GACAAACAGGUCAAGUUAAGUUUAAUUGGUAUAAAAGGAAGUUAAAAUAUUGUUUAUUUAAAGAGUUUAAUUUACUGUAGAGAGGUGGAAUUCGUAUACAGUAUGUUAUAUUUAACAUUCUUUAGUAUUUGAUGCUUCGAUAGCUAAGUAGGAAACCGGGAUUAGAUACCCCGUUAUUUUUUCUGUAAAUUUUGAUUAUUGAAUUAAUUUGCCUGAGUAUUACGGGUUGAAAAUUUUUGUAAAUUAUAGAAUAUGGUUUAUAAAUUAUUCAGAUACUUAAAACUCAAAAAACUUGGCGGUGCCUUAUUUCCUCCCAGGGGAACCUGUCCUGUAAUCGAUGAUCCACGAUUUAUCUUACUUUUCUUUGAAUUUCUAUUUUUGGUUAUCAGUUUGUAUACCGUCGUCGUCAGAUUACCUUUAAGAGUAAAAAAGUUGUCGGAUAAAUUAGAAGACUAGUUUUGUACAAGUUAUGUAUAGGUUAGUUUUAGUUUUUGAUGUCAGAUCAAGGUGCAGCUUAUAGGAAAGUAGAGAUGGGUUACAAUAUAAAUUUUAUACUAUGAAUACUAACUUGUAAGAGUUAGGUGAAAGCGGACUUGGAAGUAAUGUUAUUUUAAUUCAGUUUAAAUUAGUAAGUUUAUGUGAAUGAAGGUACUAAGGUGUGC
This 662-nucleotide ribosomal RNA is filed under the name Jujubinus vexationis. RNAcentral's name for it is "partial 12S ribosomal RNA". Lineage: Eukaryota; Metazoa; Mollusca; Gastropoda; Trochida; Trochidae. The record is from RNAcentral.